RNAcentral lists this ribosomal RNA (337 nucleotides) under Pleurotus pulmonarius. RNAcentral describes it as "eukaryotic LSU rRNA". The stretch from base 1 to 105 matches the Rfam family "5.8S ribosomal RNA", at positions 50 to 154 of the family's 154-position model. The record is from RNAcentral. Lineage: Eukaryota; Fungi; Basidiomycota; Agaricomycetes; Agaricales; Pleurotaceae.
GAAAUGCGAUAAGUAAUGUGAAUUGCAGAAUUCAGUGAAUCAUCGAAUCUUUGAACGCACCUUGCGCCCCUUGGUAUUCCGAGGGGCAUGCCUGUUUGAGUGUCAUUAAAUUCUCAAACUCACAUUUAUUUGUGAUGUUUGGAUUGUUGGGGGUUGCUGGCUGUAACAAGUCGGCUCCUCUUAAAUGCAUUAGCAGGACUUUUCAUUGCCUCUGCGCAUGAUGUGAUAAUUAUCACUCAUCAAUAGCACGCAUGAAUAGAGUCCAGCUCUCUAAUCGUCCGCAAGGACAWUUUGACAAUUUGACCUCAAAUCAGGUAGGACUACCCGCUGAACUUAA